RNAcentral lists this ribosomal RNA (765 nucleotides) under uncultured Streptococcus sp. RNAcentral's name for it is "bacterial SSU rRNA". It matches the Rfam family "Bacterial small subunit ribosomal RNA", at positions 28 to 776 of the family's 1533-position model. The record is from RNAcentral. Lineage: Bacteria; Bacillati; Bacillota; Bacilli; Lactobacillales; Streptococcaceae.
GAUGAACGCUGGCGGCGUGCCUAAUACAUGCAAGUAGAACGCUGAAGCUUGGUGCUUGCACCGAGCGGAUGAGUUGCGAACGGGUGAGUAACGCGUAGGUAACCUGCCUGGUAGCGGGGGAUAACUAUUGGAAACGAUAGCUAAUACCGCAUGACAACAGUUAUUGCAUGAUAACUGUUUAAAAGGGGCAACUGCUCCACUACCAGAUGGACCUGCGUUGUAUUAGCUAGUUGGUGAGGUAACGGCUCACCAAGGCGAUGAUACAUAGCCGACCUGAGAGGGUGAUCGGCCACACUGGGACUGAGACACGGCCCAGACUCCUACGGGAGGCAGCAGUAGGGAAUCUUCGGCAAUGGACGGAAGUCUGACCGAGCAACGCCGCGUGAGUGAAGAAGGUUUUCGGAUCGUAAAGCUCUGUUGUAAGAGAAGAACGAGUGUGAGAGUGGAAAGUUCACACUGUGACGGUAUCUUACCAGAAAGGGACGGCUAACUACGUGCCAGCAGCCGCGGUAAUACGUAGGUCCCGAGCGUUAUCCGGAUUUAUUGGGCGUAAAGCGAGCGCAGGCGGUUAGAUAAGUCUGAAGUUAAAGGCUGUGGCUUAACCAUAGUACGCUUUGGAAACUGUUUAACUUGAGUGCAAGAGGGGAGAGUGGAAUUCCAUGUGUAGCGGUGAAAUGCGUAGAUAUAUGGAGGAACACCGGUGGCGAAAGCGGCUCUCUGGCUUGUAACUGACGCUGAGGCUCGAAAGCGUGGGGAGCAAACAGG